RNAcentral lists this ribosomal RNA (137 nucleotides) under uncultured bacterium. Its description in RNAcentral is "partial 16S ribosomal RNA". It matches the Rfam family "Bacterial small subunit ribosomal RNA", at positions 355 to 508 of the family's 1533-position model. The record is from RNAcentral.
UAGGGAAUAUUGGACAAUGGGGGAAACCCUGAUCCAGCAAUGCCGCGUGAGCGAUGAAGGCCUUAGGGUUGUAAAGCUCUUUUACCCGAGAUGAUAAUGACAGUAUCCGGGAGAAUAAGCCCCGGCUAACUCCGUGC